RNAcentral lists this ribosomal RNA (460 nucleotides) under uncultured bacterium. RNAcentral's name for it is "partial 16S ribosomal RNA". It matches the Rfam family "Bacterial small subunit ribosomal RNA", at positions 338 to 795 of the family's 1533-position model. The record is from RNAcentral.
CCUACGGGAGGCUGCAGUGAGGAAUAUUGGUCAAUGGGCGCGAGCCUGAACCAGCCAAGUAGCGUGAAGGAUGACUGCCCUACGGGUUGUAAACUUCUUUUAUAAAGGAAUAAAGUGAGGCACGUGUGCCUUUUUGUAUGUACUUUAUGAAUAAGGAUCGGCUAACUCCGUGCCAGCAGCCGCGGUAAUACGGAAGGUCCGGGCGUUAUCCGGAUUUAUUGGGUUUAAAGGGAGCGUAGGCCGGCUUUUAAGUCAGCUGUGAAAGUCCGCGGCUCAACCGUGGAAUUGCAGUUGAAACUGGAGGCCUUGAGUGCACACAGGGAUGCCGGAAUUCGUGGUGUAGCGGUGAAAUGCUUAGAUAUCACGAAGAACUCCGAUUGCGAAGGCAGCCUACUAAACUGCCACUGACAUUGAUGCUCGAAAGUGUGGGUAUCAAACAGGAUUAGAUACCCGAGUAGUC